GCACUACUUUUUCAAAAAUCUGUUUCUCAAAACGAUUUGCCGGAUUUGGACUCUUUGGUUCAGAUUAAGAACCGCGACACAAAUCGAGUCCAAACUGUAGCAUGAGGCGCACGGGCGCGUCUACACGCUCAAGCUUCAAUUCUUCCACUCGAGCAAACUGUGCGUAUAUCAGAUCGCGAAAAUGACAUUUUCUAUCACUUUUUCAUUCUUCUCUCUCUCUAAAAAUUUUCAAGGACCUAGAUCUGGACUCUUUCUCUCUCUUUGCAUUUUAGCCUAGAUCCAUUGGAUUUUCUACCCUAGUGUCUUUGAGAAAAAGUUGGAGCCUUCCAAGAACUACAUUUUCAUCCGAAUAGAAGUUGGUUUCGGCAUCGUUGGAGUUUCUUCCUUUUGCUUUGCUCAACUCCUAACGUCGAGGUAAUGAUGGAAGGCCUCUACCAAAACAAUAGUAUUGGAGGGACUUUUGGGAAGCAAGAGCUUCUUUGUUUUGUUUUACUUUUUGUACAACCUAGGGUUUAAAUUGUAUGAGCUUGUCUCACUUUUGUUGUAACCAAGCCAAGGCUUGGAAAUGUGUAAGCCUAUAGGGCAUUUGUUUACGCUAAACUCAUUUGUAUUAUUAACAUUAUGAAAUGAAAGAACUUUACACUCUGAUUCAUGCAGCUA
This is a non-coding RNA of Camellia sinensis, 660 nucleotides long. Lineage: Eukaryota; Viridiplantae; Streptophyta; Magnoliopsida; Ericales; Theaceae. The record is from RefSeq and is a predicted model, not a curated record.